AUUGAACGCUGGCGGCAGGCCUAACACAUGCAAGUCGAGCGGAGCUGCGGACGGGUGCGUAAUGCCUAGGACUCUGCCUGUUAGUGGUGGCUAACGUCCGGAAACGGGCGCUAAUACCGCAUAAUAUCAGAUCUGUCUAGGUUGGUUUAGCUUGUUGGUGGGGUAAAGGCCUACCAAGGCGACGAUCCGUAACUGAGCUGAGAGGAUGAUUAGUCACACUGGAACUGAGACACGGUCCAGACUCCUACGGGAGGCAGCAGUAGGGAAUAUUGGGAAAUGGGCGAAAGCCUGAUCCAGCCAUGCCGAGUGAGUGAAGAAGGUUUUCGGAUUGGAAAGCACUUUAGGUUGGGAAGCGUUACCAACAGAGAAAGCACCGGCUAACUACGUGCCAGCAGCCGCGGUAAUAC
Molecule: ribosomal RNA, 407 nt
Filed under: uncultured bacterium
Lineage: Bacteria
Description: partial 16S ribosomal RNA
Rfam family: Bacterial small subunit ribosomal RNA
Source: RNAcentral